RNAcentral lists this transfer RNA (66 nucleotides) under Peregrinus maidis (corn hopper). RNAcentral's name for it is "tRNA-Gln". Lineage: Eukaryota; Metazoa; Arthropoda; Insecta; Hemiptera; Delphacidae. The record is from RNAcentral.
UAUAGAAUGUUGUUUAGCAUAAAGAAUUUUGAUUUCUUAGGUACUAGUUAGAUCUAGUUUUUAUAA